GAAGUUGAGGCAAGGAUGUCUUGAUUGCAUACCUAAAUCUGAUAGAAUGUACAAGCUGAAGACCUCAUUCAAACACAAUGGUCUAACUUGGUGUGAAGAGUGAGUGACUGUCACCCAGGGACUGCAUGGUGCAAGGUUUUUGCAGGCUGUUUUUGACACCCAAGGGAUUGAAAACGAAUCAUGGAAUAUUGUCCAGAACCAGGAAAAUUUGGAUGCUGCAGAAGAAAGAUGGCUUUUCCUUCCUCUUUGUUUGAAACCUCUCUGUUCUGGAUGAAUGCAAUGCUCCUGGGACCCAUGAAAAUUCCCUGGAACCAAGAGCUGCAAGUACCACAACAAGGAGAAAAAAAAGAAUUAAAGUGUUAGGUAGGAUACAGCUCAGAGGCUUUUGAUAAUGGUUUUGGGGCUGACCACCUUCGGUGCCUUUGGAACACUUCACCAGUGAGAUGCUUAAAAUACCUUUCUGAACCUCACAGCAUGUUUGAUGUUCAUUGACAGAGGCCAUGUGAAGCUGCACAUCCCUCUCCAGGAGCAGAAAAGAGAGCACAGUGGCUUCAGUCUGCAAACUGUGAGUGAAGAGGAGAGGUGUGCCCACGCCCACAUGGACCGGCUGCAAGAGGACAUUUUGCCCAUUCCUUCUACUUCAAUUCUCCUCACAUUCUUCUCUAGCCUAGGAAAUUUGACUUUAUCUCCUGUAGUGUUUGAACACCUGUAUCCUCUCCUCAGCUGCUGGGUAUCACUUCAUAUUCCCUGAACUGGUGGUGGGAUUCUAUCAGAGAUAUCAGAGGACAUGGAUUUGGCAGUGGUAAGCCCUGAUAAUAAAACCAUUACAAGUCAGAUUUUGUAAGCCAUCUGCUGGAUAUCCAGAUCCCAAGGAUGGACUCAAAUAUACAUGUGAAUAUUUCAGAAAACAUUCCACGUAAUUGUUGUAUUGAAUAAACUGUUGUAUAGAAUCAUUUCUUCAAAAUCCUGAGCACUGAAAUAAUGUGUGUAAUAUGUACUAUUCUGAUCAUUAAAUUCUGCUCUGUGCCAGUUCUCAACAUGUAAGAACAAGUCCUGCCUUUACCGUGGGGAUGUGAUGAGCUAGCAGCAGAGAAGCAGUGCCUCCCUGCAGAGCAGUAAGACCAGUGGAAAUAAUCAGGAUUUGGGUUUUGAAAAGCAGAAACUAAUGUGCAAGAAUGUAAAAAAUAUAGGCAGCUUUCUAAAUUAUUUUCAGGUGUUUUCUUUAACCCAUCUGUAAGGAUGAAAACAAUGUCAGAUUUUUCCAAAGUCUCUUUUUAAAAUGAGUUUAGAAGGCAGUUUCCAGAUAAUGUACAUUUUCCAUGUGAUGCCAUGCAAAGUUCCAAUCCUGCUCAAGGCAAUUUAAGAUUUGAUGUUGAUGUCAUGAAGACAGUAGCAAAAUAUUUCAGGUGUACACUUAGACCUCAGGAUCCAUCCCUGUCACACAGAGCUGUGUAGAGCUGGGGAGCAUGGAGGGGUUUUAGGACAACAGUCUGCUCUGCCAGGAGCAUUUUCUGGCCUGAUGUGGACAUCCCCAUGGGAAUUGCUGCCUCUGAAGUUGGUAGAAGGGGUGUUAGGGUGCACAGUGUGUAAGAAGGGGGCAGCCACAGCUUUGCUGUGGAGGUUGAGGCAGGGCAGCUGUUAUAUUAUGAGUCAAUCUUAUUCUUAUUUCUUGUGAAUCAGAAUUGCAAAGGGAGUGUGUGUUGCACUGCCAGCACAAUAUUAUGUUGUCCACCUGAAUUUGUAGAUUUGCACUUAAACAUCCUCAGUCUGCUCUGUGAUUGGUUACCCAAAACGGAGUUUUCACAUUAAUUCUGCAGGUGAUUCAUUCUGCCUUCUUGUUUCUUCCCCUAGGAGACCACUGGAUUUCAUUCCUUAGCUAACACUGUCAACCUUCAGAAAGCACGUCUUUGCAUUAUGGCCUCAUAUAAAGUUGGUAACUUUUGCAUGUCAGGAAUGAAAAGGAAAUGUAUAAACAACAUGGGAAGCAUGGUCAGGUGUCAAGGAAAGGGGAAGAAACGAGUGUGAUCCAGAACUUUAUAUCUCUUUGUGGGUGACUUGACUGAGAUACAGAUGGAAGGGACAGAUCUUUUUGCUAUUACUCCUCAGAAUCAAAGGAUAAGAAAUUGCUGUGCUGGAGGUCACUUCAUCCUGACUGCAUUCAUAUACAGGUGAUCUGUUCCAGUGCACAGGGGCAUAUCCUGCAGUGUUAAAAUCAAUGGGAAUGUUGCUGCUGAAAAUAGGAAAAACAUUUUAUCUUUGUUUCUGAUAACUGAUGUCACAAGAUCAUGGAAGGGGUUUUACUGCUCUUAAAAACAAUCUGAACUUCCUGGUGCCUAAUGCCUCCAUUGUAAGUGUCAUUUCAUCAGGAUGCUGUGCCUUGCGAAUCCAGGGAGAAGGUUAUACUCUGGAAAGGCAUAUGAAGCCAGCACUUAGUGAGAAACGAGUAAUUAAGACAUAUGGAUAGAGAAGGACACAUCAAAAGCAACAAUUUAACAAAGUAGGUGUCUGACAACAAGAAACAGGAACUGGGAAGGUGAGGUUUCAGGUGAACUCAUAGAACAGAACAGUCAUGGUUAUACUGGAGCCUCAACUUGUUGCACUCUCAGCUGCUCUUUCCUCCCUGGAGUCUUUCCAGCCCAGAUGGUGCAGCUGAGGCUGCAUGGCCUGAGGCAGAGUGUUGGAGCAACAGCAUGUUGUUAGCUGGCUUAGCAAAAAAUUGUCUUUUUUUUCUUUUUCAGCCUAUGUACUGUAAGCUGAGGCCUAACUCUGGACUUACGCUUUUCCUGUGGUUGAAUCCAUAGAGAAUUGGACUGUAAUAAUGGCAGCAGAUUGCAUAUUUUCUUGUCUUUGGAUGGCUUGACAGCAGGCCAGUGAUAGCAGUUUUCAGAGCAAUAAGGAUUACCUGUCUGUUAUAUUUCUCUUUCCCCAGUUACUCCUCUCCCCAAGCUGAAUUAUGUUUUUUUAAACAGAUGGGAUUUCUUGUGCAAGUUAACUUGCUGGAGCCUGUGCAAACCUGGGUUCUGGUUGUUCCAGUGGAGCACUGUCAAGUCUAUGCACAGCCACAGCUUUCUAGUUUCUUUACAAAUAUCUGAUUCCAAGCAGGCUGAAUCUGUAUCUCCUGGAGGUUGGUAUUCCUCCUGUAAUAUUUCUGUGCACCCUCAUCUCAUGGAUCAUUCAGAAGACCAACAGUAGCAGCUCAUUCAUUAGGUGGUGGUUGCAAAUUCCUGAAGUGGGGAAAGGUGUUCUGAAAAUUUAUCCAAAACCUGGACUUUUCUCUGUUUUUUUUUUUUUUUUUCAUGCUUCUUUUAUAUUUAUAUAUUGCUAUGAAAUAUUCUCAUCUUCUCUUAAAGUUGUUUUCAGUUUAGCUCUCAGUAGAGGAGCUAAUUUUAGAUAUGUCGUUUUGCUUUUUUCCCCUCAUAAGAGCCUGCUAAAUAGAAAGCACUUUUCUACAGGAAAAUGUUCUGGUUUGGAUUCCACCUUUUUUUCUUCUUUAGCAGUGUUAAAAAGAUGUUACUGAAUUUGAACAGUAGCAAACCUCAGCCCCAAACAGAGAAAUAUGCAGUCUUUCUCAAGACAUGUUGAGACAUCCCCCUGCAGCUGUAAUGGGUUAUCAGCACAUCUCCACCCUUUUACCAGAUGCAGUCUCUUAGAGGCAACUUUGUCUUCCGUUGUAUAUCAUCUGAUCUCAGCUAGUGUCAAAAGACCCAGGAGCUCUCUGCCUGUCUGCUGGGAACAUUGAUCCACUCACCACAACUAUUUACAAGAUGUGAAGUCUUUCCUUCUUUCCUUCCCUUGCACUCUCUUUCUCUCUGUAAAAACAAAAAAAGCUGUCAGUAUUUCAGAAAGUGUGAGCAGCAGAUCGUUGUGUACUUUAAUCCAUAAAUAAACAUUUCUUCUUUUGAACUUCAUUAAAAUUGGAUGUGUUUUCACUGUAAAACACUUCAGCAUCCCUAUCAUUUAGACAUAUUUGGUGAUGAAUAUUGCAAUUAAGUUUUAUCUGUAGGAAUAAUUGUUGUCUAGAAAUACUCAAUUUAUGCCAAAAAAGUAAAUAAGAAUCAGACUGCAAGGCAUACUGCUUAUAAUAGUAAUUUUAGAUGUUAAGCUAUGCUCCUGCUCUUUUAACAGGUUGGGCCAAGUGCAUCUUUGUUUUUAUUUCCAAGCUUGCGGGGAAGUUGUGGAGAUGUGAGAUGUGAGUUUGGUUUGGCUUCUGCACAAUUAUAUCUGACUUUCUUCUGGUAAGACUUGUUGAUGUAUCACAUUCAAAUCUCCAGCUUUGCCUUCUCUGCAUUUGACCUGAAGAAAGGAAUUCCUGCUUUAAAAUGCUCAUCAAUCAGUGCUGUGUAGUUAAGCUGAUAACAAAGCUAAGGCUAAGCCAGUGUUAAUUUAGCCAACUGUUACAUUACUGACAAUAUUUGUCAGCAAAUGAUUUUAAUUAGACCAGCAUAAUGAGGUAAGUAGGCUAAAACUAAGCAAAUUACGAAAACUAAAGAGGGAUUCUGAUGACAAGUUCUGAUGAGAGUAAGAAUGGAUUUUUUUUUUUUUUUGCCACCAAGGUCUGAGUAGCAUGUGGGAAUGGAGAGGCAGCACAAAUCACAUGAGAAAUCAGUUAAAAAUGAUGCUGGUGUGCUGGAAUGCUGAGCUGGUGUCAGGGAGGCUUGCAGAGUUUGAGCAAGUGCUGUGUAAACUUCCUGAGCAGCCCUGCAUGCCCGUGACACUCUCCCUGGUUUGUGUGCAGGAAGGGAACGGGGCAGGGAAGGCUCCUGGAAGGCUGAAGUGAAUCAGGCACUUGUGCUGUGAGAUAAAGCAGGGGAAGGCAGGUGGAAUAGGACCUUCUGAAGUUUGUGGCUGUAAUUAGGACAGGUAGGGAAAAAAGGAAGAGUAAGCAGGGAAAAAUGCAGUAUUUGAGAAUGAAGAAUAGAGGGUCAAAAAGAAAAACAUUGUUUGAUGUUUGAAUAAGGAAAUGUUUGGGGUGAAUAACCUGCUGCUCUAUUUGUUUCUUUCUCUCCCUACAUAGUUUUUUUUUUGUUCUGAUUUCUGGUGGAGAGUUCUGGCCCCUGUGUUAUUUCCCCCUGCCUGCCCGUGGUCUUCCUGAGACCUGCUGGCAGAGGGAGGUUUUCACAGUCUGAAGUGUUGAUUCUGGGAAGUGUGAAGGAAACAGAACCGUGCUGGAUGAUGUGACUCACCUUGGAGAAGUUGAUGUUUUCUGGCUGAGGGAAAGUGGGAAGUUUCAGCUUUGCUAGUCCAGAUGUUUUAAUGGAUAUUGCUGCAGUAGGAGAAAGCCUGGUCUGCCUGUUUGACUCAGUCCUGCACAGGAGAACAACAAGUUACAUACUAACAUAAAUGUUUAAUGAUUUAUGAUAAAAAAAAAAUUAGAUGGCAAGCAAAAUACCAGGUUAAUUGACUAUGGAGUCCUAAGUUCCCCAAAAUGUAGCAUUCCAGCCAAAUAUGGCUGAAAUAUCAGCUGUCAUAUGAUGAACAUUUUAAAGAAGAAUCUAUUAUACACCUAGGGGUUCAUUCGCUUCAGUAAUGAGGACAGUUACCUCUGGGGAAAGGAAGCUAUAUUAUACUUGCCACUUAACCAGGGGCUGGUUUGACAGGCAUCAGCUCAGAAUAUAUGUGUAUAUAUAGGGAAUCACAACAGCUUGUCUCAAGCUUACUGAGCAGGAAAUGUUGUGCUGUACAAUACUCUGGGUUUCUAUCUAUGGAUUUGUGGAUGGCACUGAGUGGGAUUCAGACUAUUUUUAUUCCUGAGACUGAUUGUUGAGUUGGAAUCCAUCACCUGCUAAAUAUUAAAUCAGCAGGUUUUUUAAAGAGUAACACUGUCUCUGCUGACUUGAAUAUCCUUAUGUGGCCCAGAGGAAAAGAGAAAUAAAGACAAGAUAAGAAAACUAUCGUCUUUGGCAUUCUUCUUAAUAUUAAUGAUUUCUCUAGUUUUCAAACUGUUG
Non-coding RNA from Zonotrichia albicollis (white-throated sparrow), 5945 nucleotides. NCBI's taxonomy places the organism in Eukaryota, Metazoa, Chordata, Aves, Passeriformes, Passerellidae. The record is from RefSeq and is a predicted model, not a curated record.